CUCAGUGACAACCCAUAGUUCGACAUUAGUCUCAUAAGAAACAUAGCUGGAUCCUUCUUCACAGCUACAUCUAGCAAAUAAUAAAGGAAGCCUCCUGCCCUGGUAAACUUGGUGAGUAUCUCAUCACUGUCAGUUGUCAUCAGGCCAAGUAUCUGCAAACUACCAGAUGGGGAUAAGGAGAUGCUGAAUUAGAGGAACAAACAGGAAAAUUGACCUGACCAAGGUGCGUCAGCAAGAGUAAAGACUGAAACUC
Molecule: long non-coding RNA, 253 nt
Organism: Homo sapiens (human)
Lineage: Eukaryota; Metazoa; Chordata; Mammalia; Primates; Hominidae
Exons: 3
Source: RefSeq, a predicted model, not a curated record